GCGGGGAAGCCCGGGCGUGCUGCAGUUUGCUGCCCCUCUCCGCAGGGGCGCCGCGGCGCGCAGCCCGCGCCUCUCCCCACCUGCAGCCCCUCCUCCCGCCGCUGCCGGGCGGAUAAAAGGCGCGUCCUUGCCCUUCCAGGGCCUCCUCAGGUCCUGCGGUCCCCGGUCCCCCCCACCCCCCGCGCCUUGCCUCCCUUUUCCCUCCUCCACCCCUUCCUCUUUGCCUCCCGCGCCUCCCCUCCCCCGGCUCUCCGGCCUCCCAUUCAUUCCGUCCGCUCCCUCCCCAUUCCUCCUUCCCGCUCUGGCCCUCUCCCCUAGGUCCUCCCCGCGCGGACCCCAUUGCAGUCUCGGGGUUCUUAGCACAUUCAUGGAAGUUUAGGGCCUGGAUGGUGCCCCCAAGUCCGGCCUGAGAGCGCAGCCUGAGCUGCUGGCCGGGAAGAGGAAGAUGUCUGUGCUCAAGCGGAUGAUGCGGGUCUCCAAUCGCUCCCUCCUCGCCUUCAUCUUCUUCUUCUCGCUCUCCUCGUCCUGCCUCUACUUCGUCUAUGUGGCUCCGGGCAUCGCCAACACAUAUCUCUUCAUGGUACAAGCUCGAGGAAUAAUGUUGAGAGAAAAUGUGAAAACAAUAGGGCAUAUGAUCAGGCUCUACACAAAUAAAAACACUACCCUCAAUGGCACAGAUUAUCCUGAAGGCAAUAAUUCAAGUGAUUAUCUUGUUCAAACAACAACAUAUCUUCCGGAAAACUUCACAUAUUCACCAUAUCUACCCUGCCCAGAGAAACUGCCUUAUAUGCGGGGAUUCCUCAAUGUCAAUGUAAGUGAAAUCAGUUUUGAUGAAAUUCAUCAACUCUUCUCCAAGGAUUUAGAUAUUGAGCCAGGAGGUCACUGGAGGCCUAAAGACUGUAAACCCAGAUGGAAGGUGGCAGUUCUCAUUCCUUUCCGUAAUCGCCAUGAACAUCUUCCAAUUUUUUUCUUGCAUCUGAUUCCAAUGCUCCAGAAGCAGAGGCUAGAAUUUGCCUUUUAUGUCAUUGAACAGACUGGCACACAGCCUUUUAACCGUGCAAUGCUCUUCAAUGUGGGCUUCAAAGAGGCCAUGAAAGACAGUGUCUGGGACUGCGUCAUCUUCCAUGAUGUGGAUCAUCUACCCGAAAAUGACCGUAACUAUUAUGGUUGUGGAGAAAUGCCACGUCAUUUUGCAGCAAAGCUGGAUAAAUACAUGUAUAUUCUUCCAUAUAAAGAGUUUUUUGGUGGUGUAAGUGGACUGACAGUGGAACAAUUUAGAAAGAUCAAUGGUUUUCCUAAUGCCUUCUGGGGAUGGGGAGGAGAAGAUGAUGACCUUUGGAACAGAGUUCACUAUGCUGGAUAUAAUGUAACAAGACCAGAGGGAGACUUGGGAAAAUACAAGUCUAUUCCUCAUCACCAUCGAGGUGAAGUCCAGUUUUUAGGACGGAACUCAAGGCCAAAUCUGUGAGUCACCCUCGCCUUUCUCCUCCGUACAAUCAACGUGUUAUUUCCACCUCUGAAGUCCCUCUUCAGUCUGUAGGGUGUUUUGUGUCUGCAACAACUGCAUGGAUCCUCCUGGUCUUGUCUUACUGCAAAGGCUGCAUCAAUCCCCAACCACGUCCUCGUGAUGCAGAGCAUGGCCCUGAGCCCCGAGGAGAAGAGGAUGCCGAGAGACACAAACAUGUGUUGAGGGAGCGCAGUGAAUAUUCCGUUUCUCUUCUUGGUUUAUACUGGAAACCACUGGAAAAGGUGGAAUCUUUGGCCACAUCCUUAUUUCUGAGGUUAUUGGGAAAUUGAUACAACAUGAUGAAGAUCCUUCUGGUUUUAGGGAAGUGAGAGAUGCGUGUGUUUCUGUUCUGGAGCUCAGAAGUCCGAAAUCAAGGUGUCAACUUGACACACUCCUUCUGAAACCUGUAGGGGAGAAGACUUCUGUCAAUGGCUAUCAAUCCUUGGUGUCCUUGGCUUACGGCUGGUUGUGACUCCAUUCUCUGCCUCUGUACUCUAUUUCCAAAUAAGGUCACAUUCACAGUCAGCCGACUGCGUGUCCCUUGAAGCCACAAGAUAAGCAAACCUGGGCCCUGAGUCACCAUUUGGAGGAAAGCCACCCUGGAGGUCAGCAGACGAAGAACUCCCUCAUCGGACUUGGUAAAAAGGAGGAGGGAGGUAGUAACCCGCAUUCGGUGGCCUGAAGACUGAAGAACAGUGACUGCAACUCUCACCACACAUCAGAGACCUGGAAUUGUAGAGCUGGCAGGAACAUUCUUCCCAUUUUACAGGCAAGUCAACCAGACCUCUGAGUUAGUGUUUGGCCCAAGUUUAUACAGGACAGAGCCAGGUUAGAAGUUAAGGCUUCUGUCCCCAAACCCAGAGGUUUUCCUCCCUCUAUUCCUUUGCAUUUUCUAACACGAAGAACAAGAAUGUGUUUGUAUGUGUAACAAGCAAUGAAAUAUGGAAUUAAAGCAGUGUCGGGUUCUAGUUACGAUAGCAGACUGUGGAAGGUCACGUGGGAAUUCUGAAAUACACGCAUGGGUUGGAGCUCGUUUGAGCUUCCUAAUUGGACAAAUUGUUGACCAAAGUGUUGUUCCAGUUAGUCAUGUACUUCAGGCAGGUUUAGUAGAGCUUCUGAGGCUCAGGGCCUGCAAUAGUCUAGGCGCCAGUGAGACAAGUAGGAGGAAUUUGGUUCAGGAGAGAGAUGGGGGAUGGUGAGGAGGUUUUUAAUUUUACUUAUUUUGUAUAUAGGCCUUGGAUUGAGCUUUGGACACAUCUUGGGUAAAUGUGUUUUGUUCCUAAUAUGGCAAAAGGAAGCCUUGGUUGUUUGGGGACAGGAGAAAAAAAAAAUCUGAUUGAACCAUAGUGAAAAUAAAAAUAGCAUUGAGGGCAAGAGGAGGUAACAAUCACCUAAGAAUCUCUGAAGGAGAAAAAGCAUUCCUUAAAGGCCAAGUGUCUGGCAUCACCCAGGAAAAGCUUCUUCCCUCUAAUACUGACAUUGGCCUCCAGCUCCCCUUGAUUCUUCCUCAAAACUGUAAAUGGCAUAAUCGGUGCUCAAAAUCCCACGAAGUGAAGAGGACGACUAGUUCCACAGGUAAUUUCCCAGCUCUCUUGGUGAGUGUAACAGGGCCACCUGGGUCUCCGGCGAGGGAGGAGGUGGCUGAUGCGGAAGAACAGCAUUUGUCUGGGGGUCUUGGUCAGAAGAAGUUGGCAGGGGAGGGACUCAUGGCUGGACCCGUCAGCACCAACCACUGAGGGGAGGCCCUGGGACUCGCGCUUGCCUACCUGCUCUCUCUAACUUCCCAUAUCCACUGGGCUGAUGGUCCUACUUAGUAUGCCUGACAUCAGUCCCUCUCCUUCCACCCCCAGAGCAGGCGUGUGUUUUCGCUUACGAAUUUCUAGCAUUUAGCAGAAUGUUGGACACAUAGAAAGCUUUUAUUUUCCAAAUGUUGGUUGAAUGAACACUAACACUAAGAACAGACAAGGAAGCUAACAUCUAAUGACUAGUAGCAAUGCAUCGUGGGCCCUACGGCCGUGAAUCUUCUCAUUAGGCUGAGCCCAGGGCAGACAAGGGUUCCAAGGGGCCUGAUCCUGUGUUCUAGGGUAGAGGCUGAGAGUCUAGGCGCAAAUGAUUUGUGGUGGGCACCUCUAAGCCCUGCACCAUCUAAACUAGGCUCUUUGUCUUGCUGCCCCACUUAGGAGGAGCAGCCAAAGGCAAGCUUCUUGGUAGAUGGGGAGCCCCAGAAGUCAGGCCCCUAUGGUUUUUCUGGCAACACUGUCGCCCCAAAGAACCAUCUGAUGUCAACUGAAGCAGAGAGGAUGCUUCCCUUUAAUGCUGAGCUAUUUUUGAUGCAAUUAUUUGAUCUUUAACUCUGACCAGAGUUCUGGAUUCUCUUUCCAUGUCAACCAUCUGUUUUAAAUGACUUAAGGAUUUAUGGAGAAGGAGGAGGCACUGAGAUUGGGCCCGUGGAUCACUUGGAGGUUCCUACUGCCUCAUAAGCAAAACUUAGAGUGUGAACCAAGGGUUACAAAGGUGGCUUUAUUAUUAUUGUUUUUAGCCUGACUUCUUACAGGAAGAAAGCUGAGGCACCCCUGAGGCUAAGACCAGUCUGGGCCCUGUUGGUCAUUAUUUCUCUUCAUCCCUUUACUAGACAUUGGGCGAGUUAUUUCACUGCCCGGUGCCUCAAGUUCUUCCUCUGUAAAAUGAGGAUAAUAAUAACAACUCCAAUGGGCUGUGGAGGAGGACUGAAUCGGUUAAAUAUAGAAAAGACAGCAGUCUGGCAUGUGGUGUAUGCCCGACCGGUGUUAUCUAUUAUGUUGCCAUUAUUAUCUUGAAUUCGCUGUCUAUAUAUGCAUUAGCCCCAAACACUUCUCCAGACCUCUGGGAGCCAUGUGUUUUGGAAUGAAGUGGGUUUUUUUUUUUUUUUUUUCAGAUUUUAGAGAAGUAAAAUGGUACAUCUCUGUUUCAUUACAGGGCACCCUAGGUAGGGUCUGGAGGGCUGCUAGUCAUCCAACAUAUUAACAGUUCUUUGGCAAGCAACCAUUCCUAGUCAGGGGGAACUGAAGAAGUUAAUAAGGAGCCUCAUGUCAAUUCAGGUCAUGUUACUAAAUGAGUUUCCACCAAACUUAGAAAUAAACUUUGCUUUUCAGAGUUCUAUAGCUUUCUGGCUGUAGAAAUAGGAAAGGGAAUCUGUGCUAGUUCGGUGCUUUCCUUAUGACAUUUCCAUGGCGUGUGACUGCAGACUGGGCAUUGCCUGGGAUCAACGACAACAACAAAACAAAAUACUAAAAAGCAACUCGAGUGUCUCUACGC
Molecule: RNA transcript, 4801 nt
Organism: Zalophus californianus (California sea lion)
Lineage: Eukaryota; Metazoa; Chordata; Mammalia; Carnivora; Otariidae
Gene: B4GALT6
Gene name: beta-1,4-galactosyltransferase 6
Exons: 14
Source: RefSeq, a predicted model, not a curated record